This 226-nucleotide ribosomal RNA is filed under the name uncultured bacterium. RNAcentral's name for it is "partial 16S ribosomal RNA". It matches the Rfam family "Bacterial small subunit ribosomal RNA", at positions 538 to 763 of the family's 1533-position model. The record is from RNAcentral.
GCGUUAAUCGGAAUUACUGGGCGUAAAGCGUGCGCAGGCGGUUUGCUAAGACAGGUGUGAAAGCCCCGGGCUUAACCUGGGAAUUGCGCUUGUGACUGGCAGACUGGAGUGUGGCAGAGGGAGGUGGAAUUCCACGUGUAGCAGUGAAAUGCGUAGAGAUGUGGAGGAACACCGAUGGCGAAGGCAGCCUCCUGGGCCAGCACUGACGCUCAUGCACGAAAGCGUG